Molecule: ribosomal RNA, 924 nt
Filed under: uncultured Bacteroidota bacterium
Lineage: Bacteria; Pseudomonadati; Bacteroidota
Description: bacterial SSU rRNA
Rfam family: Bacterial small subunit ribosomal RNA
Source: RNAcentral
GGAUCCAGACUUUGAUCCUGGCUCAGGAUGAACGCUAGCUACAGGCUUAACACAUGCAAGUCGAGGGGAAACGACAUCGAAAGCUUGCUUUUGAUGGGCGUCGACCGGCGCACGGGUGAGUAACGCGUAUCCAACCUGCCCAUCACUUGGGGAUAACCUUGCGAAAGUAAGACUAAUACCCAAUGACGUCUCUAGAAGACAUCUGAAAGAGACUAAAGAUUUAUCGGUGAUGGAUGGGGAUGCGUCUGAUUAGCUUGUUGGCGGGGUAACGGCCCACCAAGGCAACGAUCAGUAGGGGUUCUGAGAGGAAGGUCCCCCACAUUGGAACUGAGACACGGUCCAAACUCCUACGGGAGGCAGCAGUGAGGAAUAUUGGUCAAUGGGCGAGAGCCUGAACCAGCCAAGUAGCGUGCAGGAUGACGGCCCUAUGGGUUGUAAACUGCUUUUAUAAGGGAAUAAAGUGAGUCUCGUGAGACUUUUUGCAUGUACCUUAUGAAUAAGGACCGGCUAAUUCCGUGCCAGCAGCCGCGGUAAUACGGAAGGUCCGGGCGUUAUCCGGAUUUAUUGGGUUUAAAGGGAGCGUAGGCCGGAGAUUAAGCGUGUUGUGAAAUGUAGACGCUCAACGUCUGCACUGCAGCGCGAACUGGUUUCCUUGAGUACGCACAAAGUGGGCGGAAUUCGUGGUGUAGCGGUGAAAUGCUUAGAUAUCACGAAGAACUCCGAUUGCGAAGGCAGCUCACUGGAGCGCAACUGACGCUGAAGCUCGAAAGUGCGGGUAUCGAACAGGAUUAGAUACCCUGGUAGUCCGCACGGUAAACGAUGGAUGCCCGCUGUUGGUCUGAAUAGGUCAGCGGCCAGGCGAAAGCAUUAAGCAUCCCACCUGGGGAGUACGCCGGCAACGGUGCAACUCAAAGGAAUUGACGG